CAGGAUGAACGCUAGCGGCGCGCUUAAUGCAUGCAAGUCGAGCGAUGAGACUCCUACGGGAGCACAUCAGCGGCAGACGGGUGAGUAACACGUAGAUGACGUACCCUCAAGACGGGGAUAACGGAUGGAAACAUGCGCUAAUACCGGAUGACCUUACGAUGUCAGAAUGGUAAGGAAAGCUACGGCGCUUGAGGAGCGGUCUGCGGCCCAUCAGCUAGUUGGUAGGGUAAAGGCCUACCAAGGCGAAGACGGGUAGGGGGUGUGAGAGCACGGACCCCCACAAUGGGACUGAGACACGGCCCAUACUCCUACGGGAGGCAGCAGCAGGGAAUAUUGCACAAUGGACGGAAGUCUGAUGCAGCGACGCCGCGUGAGUGAAGAAGGCCUUCGGGUUGUAAAACUCUUUUGAGGGGGAAGAGCGAGGACGGUACCCCUGGAAUAAGCGUCGGCUAACUACGUGCCAGCAGCCGCGGUAAGACGUAGGACGCGAGCGUUAUCCGGAUCCACUGGGCGUAAAGCGUCUGUAGGCGGAUGUGUAACUCGGGCGUGAAAGCUCCGGGCUUAACCCGGAGAGGCCGUUCCAUACUGCAUAACUU
Molecule: ribosomal RNA, 596 nt
Filed under: uncultured organism
Description: bacterial SSU rRNA
Rfam family: Bacterial small subunit ribosomal RNA
Source: RNAcentral